CAAACCAUGGGAGCUGGUAAUGCCCGAAGUCGGUUUAUAAACAAACUGCCUAAGGCAGGACUGGUGACUGGGGUUAAGUCGUAACAAGGUAUCCCUACGAGAACGUGGGGAUGGAUCACCUCCUUUCUACGGAGUACAUAAAAUCACAUUUCAUUGGGAAUAGUGAUUAUUAACCUUAUUUUUUGACCUUAACUUAAUAUUUUUCAACAGUUCAUGGCUUAUUUAGGUCAUAAGCAAUAUAUCUAGUUUUGAGAGAACAUUCUCUCAAAUGUUCUUUGAAAACUGAAUAGUAAAUUAUUUUAAAAUAUUUACAACGACAUCUAAACAAAUUAAUAAUUAGUCAUUUUGUUUUGAUUCAUCGAGUAAUCAUAAAACAUUAUGAUUCAUUGAAAUGUCUUAAAAUACACAUCAUUAAAUAACCAAAUAGGAACAUACUUUUAAAUAAGGAAGAAUUUGUGGUGGAUGCCUUGGGUCUUAAAGUCGAUGAAGG
RNAcentral lists this unclassified non-coding RNA (490 nucleotides) under uncultured Mycoplasma sp. RNAcentral's name for it is "partial contains 16S ribosomal RNA, 16S-23S ribosomal RNA intergenic spacer, and 23S ribosomal RNA". The stretch from base 1 to 126 matches the Rfam family "Bacterial small subunit ribosomal RNA", at positions 1398 to 1533 of the family's 1533-position model. Lineage: Bacteria; Bacillati; Mycoplasmatota; Mollicutes; Mycoplasmatales; Mycoplasmataceae. The record is from RNAcentral.